Molecule: unclassified non-coding RNA, 300 nt
Filed under: uncultured Ascomycota
Lineage: Eukaryota; Fungi; Ascomycota
Description: sequence contains ITS1
Rfam family: 5.8S ribosomal RNA (bases 1-106)
Source: RNAcentral
GAAAUGCGAUAAGUAAUGUGAAUUGCAGAAUUCAGUGAAUCAUCGAAUCUUUGAACGCACAUUGCGCCCGCUAGUUAUUCUGGCGGGCAUGCCUGUCCGAGCGUCAUUUCAACCAUUAAGCCCCCGGGCUUGUGCUGGGGACCUGCGAGCUCUUCGCCCGCAGGCCCUGAAAAUUAGUGGCGGGCUCGCUGACACACCGAGCGUAGUAGCAUAAUUCUCGCUCAGGGCGUGCUGCGGGUUCCGGCCGUAAAAACGACCCAGGUUGACCUCGGAUCAGGUAGGAAUACCCGCUGAACUUAA